Molecule: long non-coding RNA, 1353 nt
Organism: Hippopotamus amphibius kiboko
Lineage: Eukaryota; Metazoa; Chordata; Mammalia; Artiodactyla; Hippopotamidae
Exons: 3
Source: RefSeq, a predicted model, not a curated record
CCGAGGGCCUGAUCCUGCAAAGAUGUUUGACUUCCUUACAAGGAGUGAAAACUGCACAGGCCUGAGGUUCAGUUAUUGAACUGGAUGUAUCUCCCAAGAUGAGGGUUGGCCUGGACGUGAGGCCUGUUGGAUUAUAAAGCACAGGGCUUUCAGGGAAUCCAGAAGAGGGACUGCCCAGUGCUACAUGAUGGCACACGUACCUGGAUGAGAGAGGGAUCUGAGGCGUUGAGGCAGUAUCAACUUUUGUUAGUGGUGGGAAGUCUUGUCUGUGAGUGGACUUUCCUGACAGUCUUGCUUCUGGGAAUCUCCGUUUCAUCCAUUGUGUGAGCCCUUUGGUAAAUGGGUGACAAAUCUUACUGAGCAUCUAUUUACAAAGAACUGUACCAGGGUCAGGUGGUACAAAGAAGUAUCGGCACAGUCCUGCCAGUCAGAAGUUUGUGAUGUGUGUGAGGAGAUUCGCCAUCUUCUUGUGAAGAGACAAACUUGGCAUUGAAGCAGCCACCCUGGGCCUAUGCAGGGAAGUUUUGCCACAUCAGCGAGAAAGGCAAAGCAGAAGGACGGGAGGAGCCGGCGGCCUUCAAGAUACCUGUGAGCUGUAAACCGACCCCAGGGCCAACACACUUCGUGUGAAGUGAUUUUUUUCAUGAAUUGCCGAGACCAGCUCGGCGACUCGAGGUGAGUGACGGGUGCCGCAAGCUUGAAGAAGACACAGACACAGACUGAAGAGAAAAGUGGGACCGGGGGGCUCAAGACCUCUCGGAUCAAGAGCCCCGCUGACUCAUCCCAGGCUGCUUUUAUUGAGUUCGUGGGCUAACAUUCUCAGGUUACACUCAUAAACAGUCAAAGGCCUCACAUGAUUGAGGCAAUUAUCUUUGUUUACUUCCUGGGUCCGAGUUGAGCAGGUGUGGAUUUGAGCUGGUGGUGGAGAGCAAAACAGCCCUGGGGGUAGGAGACCUCUCUCAGAUAUUGGGGGUCUGUGCCCCACCCGUGUUGGCCCCUCUGCGACUGUGCCUGUCUUAGGUUGUUCCUCCCUUGAGGAAUCUUACCCGUCUCUGGCUAACCAGUCAUCCUCCAGGGCCAAACACAGUGAUAUAAGGAAGGUUCUAUGCACCACCCCUGUUGGCCCCUCUGCGGCUGUGCCUGUCUUAGGUUGUUCCUCUUCUGAGGAAUCUUACCCGUCUUUGGCUAACCAGCCAUCCCUCAGGACCAAACAGGGUGAUAUUAGUCUCCACGCCCCACACCCUCAGUUCCUCCACUGCUCAAGCAGGACAUUCUGAAUCCCAUCGCUCGGCCCACAUACUUCAACACUUUCAAUGCUUCAAAAGGGUUCCAGAAUGUCUUCCCACAAUGAAU